Long non-coding RNA from Oncorhynchus keta (chum salmon), 1683 nucleotides. RefSeq lists it as uncharacterized. The transcript is spliced from 4 exons. Lineage: Eukaryota; Metazoa; Chordata; Actinopteri; Salmoniformes; Salmonidae. The record is from RefSeq and is a predicted model, not a curated record.
AGAUUCUGAGAAGUCUGUGAGAGAGAUGUGUGGUCUGAGAACAAGCGUUGUGUUAAAUGCAACGUGUGCCCUUCGAAGGAUGGGAAGCAGGGAAAGUAUUGCUAAGAGUGUCUGUAGUGCGUAAAACCAUCCUGGUGUCACUGCCAGCCCUGUGGCUGCUGUGCCCCCCCCCGGGACCACCCCUGUGGGAACAGCCCAGGUCUGGAAGGCUGCUACAACUGUGGUAGCUUGAAGCACAAACGCAGAGCCUGUCCCCUCAAAGACAGAGGACCAGCAACAAUAAGACCAAGGGAGGCAAGAUCCUGCCCAAACAACAACCCAAAAAGUCCAAUUCCAAGAGGCAGUCUGGAGCCCAGCGCAGAGCCAACAAGUUGAAGGAGACAGCAGAGUGGUCACACAACCCCACUUUCACAACUCACCACACAGCAAGGGAGAUGUGUGUGUGUGUGUGUGUGUGUGUGUGUGUGUGUGUGUAGCAGAUGUGAAGUAGUCAUUAGUUGGCAGCUUGUGUGUGGUUGGUUGCUGUACUGUAGACAGUCAGUCAGUCUUUUAAAGACAUUUAACUUGUUUUUGCUUAAUAACUAUGGAUAAUCUCAUGUUACACCACCAUUUUGAAUUCACAUAAUUCUUGAUUUCCUGCUGUAUGUCAAUGUGUAACGCUGUUUUGGAGCACUAGUAGGAACUAGUCCACACAGAGAACAGAAGCUGUGUCGUUGAAGAAGGCUCUGCGCAUGUUGGACGUUUCCUCCAAAACGAGGUCAAUGCCGUUGCAUCAAAAUAACUGACUGGACUGUAUGUAUGAAACUAAAGCUGAGCUUUCGAGGAGAUUUACCUAAGAAAACAGGUGAAAGGCAUCCAUUUUAUUUUUCUGUGCUCAAGACGGUGGGAUAGAAACACCAUGUUUUCCUACCCUGCAGGCGGAUGAGGCGGAAGAUAGAGAAAAUAAUUCCUUUAUGAAUUCCAUCCGGAUCUGGACUGAUACACCUUACAGUGGAGGCGACUCAUGUCCUUCCAGGAAGGAGCGCAGGCAACAGACUGACAAUGGAGAAGGAUAACUCAGAACCUUCUGGGAUAGUGUUGUGAUCUCACUGCGUUUAGCUAGUAUAGCUUCAGUUUCUGAAUACACACAAUUAUUAUUUAUUAUGCAAGUGAUAUGUAGAAAAUAUAGCCUUUUAAGAAGCUGAUUUGCAAUCAGCAUGCAUAUUCACAUGAACCUGAGUGAAGCGUAAAUGCAUCAUUUUUUUGUGUGUCACUUCCUUUGUUAGCCACUAAUUUCUUCCUGUAUAUGUCAUCAACACCAUUCCCUGUGGAUUUUCUGUUUAUUUUCUUCCAAUGAACCUUGUGUCAUGGUUGUUAUUUAGUAAACAGCCCUCUGAAUAUCUGGCUCCGAUUCAUUUGAAUCAUAGUAAUACACUGCUAUCCUCUACUGGUCCCCAGAGUUCUGUAUUGAGUAAUGUCUUUUGCAGAGUGAAUGCAGUGUCCAAGUCACACCCCAGCGUGUAUUAGUGUCCGAGUCACACCCCAGCGUGUAUUAGUGUCCGAGUCACACCCCAGCGUGUAUUAGUGUCCGAGUCACACCCCAGGGUGUAUUAGUGUCCGAGUCACACCCCAGCGUGUAUUAGUGUCCGAGUCACACCCCAGGGUGUAUUAGUGUCCGAGUCACACCCCAGGGUGUAUUAGUGU